Molecule: long non-coding RNA, 825 nt
Organism: Oreochromis aureus
Lineage: Eukaryota; Metazoa; Chordata; Actinopteri; Cichliformes; Cichlidae
Source: Ensembl
AUGGUUUUUACUGCAAUGCAUCUUGGGAGUCGUAGUAAAUGGAUCUUUCAACUCACGGUCCAGCGAAUUUUUCGACUCGACACGAGGCAGAUCUUAGCUAGAGCAGUCUGUGUACCAAGAGAACUACUUCUGCAAAGAAAUUACAAAGCCAAAAACCCAAACCAUGCCCUUCCUGUCAGGCUCCAAACACCUGCAACAGGAAGACAUGCAGUGGAUGCCUGGGCAGCCUGAACGUAAAGGAGGGAUUGAAAAAAAAAAACAAGAACAGCAACUGGGCUGCCUCUGUUAAAAAAAAAAAACAAAACAGAAAUGCGAGCAGGGUGGUUAAUUCAGCCCAGUUAUCAGUAAGGUUUCAAAACUACAUGCCCUGGGCUUCCAGCCAAUUCUGUUUCUUGGACAGUUUGACCGAAAGGGCCGUAUAGUAGGGGACGUGAUCACAUAGAGCCAGCGGAUGGUGCUGCAUGUGACAUCCUCAUGAAGAUGAGGAAACUUUAUGAACACCUUCUGAGAAAAUUACAAGCUUCACCUCCUGCUAAAAGUUCUACACCAGCAGCUGGACCAUCCUCUGCUGACAGUGUCGAUGCUGGACCAGUCCCAGACCCAGAGGCUCUAAACGAGGAAUUUAUUCUUCAUUUAGAGCCUGAACCAACAUCUUCCCUCUGUCAGCCUCCUGUAUCCUCCUCUUCAUCUCUGCUUCCUCCUGCAUCCUCCUCUUCAUCUCUGCUUCCUCCUGCAUCCUCCUCUCCGUCUCUGCUUCCUCCUGCAUCCUCCUCUCCGUCUCCGCUUCCUCCUGCAUCCUCCUCUUCAUCUCCGCUUCCUACAUUU